AAACUUUCAACAACGGAUCUCUUGGUUCUGGCAUCGAUGAAGAACGCAGCGAAAUGCGAUAAGUAAUGUGAAUUGCAGAAUUCAGUGAAUCAUCGAAUCUUUGAACGCACAUUGCGCCCCUUGGUAUCCCGAGGGGCAUGCCUGUUCGAGCGUCAUUU
RNAcentral lists this ribosomal RNA (158 nucleotides) under Suberoteratosphaeria pseudosuberosa. Its description in RNAcentral is "5.8S ribosomal RNA". It matches the Rfam family "5.8S ribosomal RNA". From Rfam's summary of the family: 5.8S ribosomal RNA (5.8S rRNA) is a component of the large subunit of the eukaryotic ribosome. It is transcribed by RNA polymerase I as part of the 45S precursor that also contains 18S and 28S rRNA. Lineage: Eukaryota; Fungi; Ascomycota; Dothideomycetes; Mycosphaerellales; Teratosphaeriaceae. The record is from RNAcentral.